Long non-coding RNA from Haemorhous mexicanus (house finch), 3758 nucleotides. RefSeq lists it as uncharacterized. The transcript is spliced from 2 exons. Lineage: Eukaryota; Metazoa; Chordata; Aves; Passeriformes; Fringillidae. The record is from RefSeq and is a predicted model, not a curated record.
GAUGGUGGGAGGUGUCCCUGCCAUGGCAGGGGUGGCACUGGAUGGGCUCUGAGGUCCAUCCCAACCCAAACUCUGACUCCCUGACUCAGUGGAGCUGCCUCAGAUGUAUCCAGCUCCAAUCCAGCACCCAAAGCCCAGCCCUGGCAGCUGUGGGUGUGAGGGGUGACCAUGACAUCAGACACAGCCACAUCCCUGCCCUCACUGCCACACUGGUGGGCCCUGCCCAGCUCUCCCAAGGGCUUUGUGUUUGUGCUCCAGGCUGGAGGAGACAUUUCACUGCUUGGCUGCUGCUUCAGCCCAAACCAGGCUGUCUCUGGUGUGGUGGAGCUGGGUCCUGGCCUCCAGGGCCAGGCUGAUGGCAAUCCAGGAUCCAGGGUCACGUCAAGGAGGGCUGAACCUCUGUCCCUCUCCCAUGCCUUCCAGUCAUUCUCUGGCUUUCCUGCAGGUUGGUGAUGCCUUGAGGAGAUUCAAGCUUUAUUUUAAACACAAAUCUUGUUGUUUGAGCAGGAUGUGUCUUAGGAACAGAUGUCCAGCAAGGACAUAUUGGGGAAGAACUGGAAAACAUUGAGAAUCCUGAGCUUUGUCAUCUCCUCAUUGCACUGGGAUGGCCAGCACUGGACAAAACCUGGUCUGCAAGGGUGGUGAGCAAAAAUGAGAGAAAACUGACUCAUUAAGAGUGUGGCUUUGGAAAGGGAGUUUCCUGCUGUUUGGAGUCCUUGCUGGUUUGGUUCUUGCUUGUUCCCAUUACAUAAUAUAUUGCAUUUGGCACUGCUGUGUGAAAGUAGGAAGAGGGGAAGCUGGAGCAGAAGGAGCUUCACUCAAAAACUCAUCUCCAGGUCCCAGCCCUUCCUGUCCCACUAUAAAUCAGACGAGUUUGGACACCAGCUACAAUUUUGGAGAGGUAAAGUCAUCAUCAAAGUUUCCAGACCUCAGAGAGAUGACAAAGCCCUUCCAUGAGGACCCCAGCAAGUGCCUUAGAGGGACAAAGAGCCCCAGAGCACAGUCUUGGUUUUGGCAAGGGGAUGAGGAAGGAACCCAAACCCCUCCAGCCUUCCUAGAGUGUCCCAAAGGAACUGAGAAAUCUGUGGUGUGAGGCAGGGAGGGGAGAGCAGAGGGGCCUGGCAGGGUGAAACAUCUGCCCCUGGUGUCUGGAGGCUGCUAAGUUUUAAUUUGGGAAUUUCUGGUCUGAUAACAGAGAGAGAAAAUGGGGAACAGGGUGGGAGGCACAUAGAAACUGGGAAGCCCCAGCUGAGGUCUGGAGGUGGGUUGGAAGUUCCUGCUAUUUCUGCUGUCCCUGCAGGACUUUGUCCUGUACUUUGUGGUGCAUUUUUUACUGUUAUGACCCUUUUAAGACCUGAAGCCUGCCUGGAACAUCUCCUCCCUCCCCAUGUCCUACAGCCCAGCUGCCAAGUCUGGGAGCAUCCCCAUGGCACAGGGAUAUUUCUCUGGACAUGGAUUUGUUGCUUCAGAACCGGCUGCUCAGUCCUGUGGGGCCAACCUGGAGCCCUGGGAAAGGUGGUAAAUCCACCAGGACCUGCUCUCCAGUGGGUGCCAUCAUCCCAAAGGGGCUGGUGGUCUGUGGGAGGAGCUGAGGAACAGCUCCUUAUUCCUACAGGAGGCAGAGCCCUCUGGUUCCUGGUGCCCUGGGUUGUUUGCAGGUCUCUUCAGAGCACAGGGAAGCAGCUCCUUCACUGGGAAUUAUUUGGGAUCUGCAGCCCCCAGUGCCGGAACCUGUCUGGGUAAAUGCACCAACGCUCCAUCCCUCAGGAAGGCCAAAAAAGGGGAGGAUUUGUGAUCACUGGGAUGUUAAAUAUUGCCAGGCUGUUCCACCCAAAGCUUCACUUCCCAUAAAUCUCCCUUUGCCUCAGUUUCCCGUGGCACGGCUGUUCUAGACUGUGUGCCACAGCCCCAGCCCUUGGCUGGACAAAUAUCAGGGCCACCUUCCCAAUCCCAAAUGGCACUUCCAGGGAUAAUUCCUUGGAGUGAAAUCACAUCCUCCUAUUCUCCUGGGAGUGACAAACUGCAAAUCUUUAAAGAGAGCAGUGAUCAGCCCUGAGUGGUGCUGAGCUGUGAGAAAAGGGAUCAUGGAACAAUUACAGGAAGCAGCUGAGACUAAAAGUAGGAUUUAACAGGAUCUGGAUCUUCUGUCCCCCUGACCUGAAUGAGCUCCUGCUGCCAGGGAAAAGAGCAAAACCUCUGAGAUUUGUGAAUUGGAGUUUUUAGGGCACACGUGGAUUCGAGGCUGGGCAGAGAGGCUUUGAUGUGGAGCUGCUCCAGAUAGCUGUGGGUCAUUCCAGGGGCUGAUGGAUGAGCCCAUGGAUGGCUCUCCCUCCACUGUCACUGUGGUGUUCUGCCCUGGCUGGUGGCCUGGGGGUGUCCCUUACCCCUCUGUGGUCCCAGUGACAUUGACAAGUUGCAGGAGAUCCUGGAGCCAUCCCCGGGGCAGGGUCCUGUGCUGUGCUCAGGCUCAGACACCAAUGUCACAGCAGGAUGUCCCUCUCUGUUGCCUCUCUGCUCUUCACAGACCCUGCAAAGCUCAUUUCACGCAGCAGCACAUCCACAGCUCCUGACUGGUGACAAAGGUGUUCCAUGUGUGUUUUGUGUCCCUGCCAGCCCAUGGAUAGAUGGAUCUUGUCACCAUGCUGGGUGGCCUGAGCUCCAGCCAGUCCUGGGAGUGAGAUCUGUGACUGGACCACAGUGACCUGCAGGGACCAGGACCAGAGAGCAGGACCUUGUGUGCUCCUUGUCCUGCUCAGCUCUGCAAACCUGUCCCCAGCAGGAUUCCUCCAUCACUGGGAGUGAUUGAGACAUCCCCAACCCUGGAGGUGACCAGGACAGGGCAGUCAGGGUAUUCCUUGGUGACUCCACCACCUCCCUGGGCAGUCCCUUCUAAUGCCUGACCACCCUUUCCAUGAAGAAAUUCUUCCUGAUGUGCAGCCUGAACCUCUCCUGGAGCAGUUUGAGCAUUUCCUCUUGUCCCAUCUAUGCUCCGAGCUGUGGUUCAUUAAACCAAGGUGGUACCAGCCCAGAGAGCUCCCAUCUUCCCUCACCAGUUCCACACCACCUCAAACCCAGGAGAGGAGACAGCAGAUCCCCUUGGCUGUGUUUUCCAGCUUAACCAAAUCCCUGAAGCCAUGAGGAAGGGCCCUGGUGAUCAGAACAGGCAUCAGAAGCUUUGCAGGCUCAUGAUGUGCAGCCAGCCCUCCCGGGCAUGUGGAGCCUGCCCAGGUAUCAGCUGUGGGAAUCAGCUCAUGCAGAGGAUGCUCCAUCUCCUGCUGGCUCCCUCCAGCUCUGCUGAAACACCUGGGGAUGUGGAGCUACAGGAACAUCCAAUCUGCUCCAGGCCUUCCAUCAUCCACACCUCUGCAAGGAGAUGGCUCUGCUUGGCAGAUCUGAAAUCUCCAUGCUGACAGAUGGGAUCUGACAGGAGCAGCACAGCUGGCAGACAGGAGACAUUCCUUCCCUUCCUGAAACCUCCCAAGUGCUCCUCAAUAACGCCAGUGCUUGGGAAGCUCUGUGGUUCCUGCAGGAAUCAUCUCCCAGGUGGAUGUUUGGUUCCUCAGGGGAAGGAGGCAGCAGCUGUGCAUCAGCACAACCAUUGCACAACCCCCAGCUGGAGCUGAUGGAUCCAGCUGAAAGAGGAAUUUUGGGUCAGUGGAAUAUUGCUGUCAGCACUGGGCUGUGCCCAGGUUGCCAUGGGGACACCUGUGCCUUUAGGGUUUGGGUCGUGCAGGGAAUCAAGGUGCUCUUUCACCCCA